Molecule: long non-coding RNA, 416 nt
Filed under: Panax ginseng (ginseng)
Lineage: Eukaryota; Viridiplantae; Streptophyta; Magnoliopsida; Apiales; Araliaceae
Description: long non-coding RNA (PGIN_LNC009244)
Source: RNAcentral
AUUUACACCUUCCCCCUGAAUGAUGAAGCUAUCCUCCAUAUAAUCCUCAAGACCCACGUGAGGGACUCUAUUAUUUGAUGCUCUCAUCGUUCCAUCUAGUAUAGGUGGGUAGCAAAGUGGUAUUUUUUCAACACUGAGAUGAGGCUUCGUGCAAGUCAAAUGAGGCAUACUUGGCAAAUUAGACGCAUCCCUUUCUUCAAUUAAACUCAUGCCAUUAUGUUGCGCACGGAGUAAAGCACCAGCAACUGAAGGACUUGUUACGGGAGAGGCCAAGUUUGAUGCUGGAAUUCCCCUCUGCCAACAGUAUCCAGACAACUCUUUUGUUCCCUGCUGUGGAGAACUCGUAAGACUGUCGCAACAAUUUGAUUGAAAAGGUAAACCAUUCACUUGACCAGGUAUAUAUUGUGACCCCAAUG